Molecule: ribosomal RNA, 651 nt
Filed under: uncultured bacterium
Lineage: Bacteria
Description: bacterial SSU rRNA
Rfam family: Bacterial small subunit ribosomal RNA
Source: RNAcentral
GGUGAGUAACGCGUAAGUAACCUACCCUGACACACGGGAUAGUCUGUCGAAAGACAGGGUAAUACCGUAUAUAUUCUUCGAACCGCAUGGUUUGAUGAGGAAAGAUGGGGAUCCUUCGGGACCUAUCGUGUAAGGAGGGGCUUGCGUCCCAUCAGCUUGUUGGUGUGGUAACGGCGCACCAAGGCGUAUGACGGGUAGCUGGUUUGAGAGGAUGACCAGUCACACUGGGACUGAGACACUGCCCAGACUCCUACGGGAGGCUGCAGUCGAGAAUAUUUGGCAAUGGGCGAAAGCCUGACCAUGCGACGCCGCGUGCAGGACGACGGCCUUCGGGUUGUAAACUGCUGUUACAGGGGAAGAAGAUUGUGAGUGCAAAUAGUGCUUGUGGUUUGACGGUACCCUGAGAGAAAGCCACGGCUAACUCCGUGCCAGCAGCCGCGGUAAUACGGAGGUGGCAAGCGUUGCUCGGAUUUACUGGGUGUAAAGAGUUCGUAGGCGGUUCUAAAAGCUUGGCUUUAAAGGCCGUGGCUUAACCAUGGUUUGAGUCGAGAACUGUAGAACUAGAGGAUGACAGAGGUAAGCGGAAUUCCCGGUGUAAGGGUGAAAUCUGUAGAUAUCGGGAGGAACACCAGUGGCGUAGGCGGCUUACUG